GGGAAGAGCAGUAGGGAAUCUUCCACAAUGGACGAAAGUCUGAUGGAGCAACGCCGCGUGAGUGAUGAAGGUUUUCGGAUCGUAAAACUCUGUUGUUAAAGAAGAACAAGUGUUAGAGUAACUGUUAACACUUUGACGGUAUUUAACCAGAAAGCCACGGCUAACUACGUGCCAGCAGCCGCGGUAAUACGUAGGUGGCAAGCGUUGUCCGGAUUUAUUGGGCGUAAAGCGAGCGCAGGCGGUUUUGUAAGUCUGCUGUGAAAGCCCUCAGCUCAACUGAGGAAGUGCAGUGGAAACUACAAAACUUGAGUACAGAAGAGGAAAGUGGAACUCCAUGUGUAGCGGUGAAAUGCGUAGAUAUAUGGAAGAACACCAGUGGCGAAGGCGGCUUUCUGGUCUGUUACUGACGCUGAGGCUCGAAAGCAUGGGUAGCGAACAGGAUUAGAUACCCUGGUAGUCCAUGCCGUAAACGAUGAAUACUAGGUGUUGGAGGGUUUCCGCCCUUCAGUGCCGCAGCUAACGCAUUAAGUAUCCGCCUGGG
Molecule: ribosomal RNA, 541 nt
Filed under: Apilactobacillus kunkeei
Lineage: Bacteria; Bacillati; Bacillota; Bacilli; Lactobacillales; Lactobacillaceae
Description: bacterial SSU rRNA
Rfam family: Bacterial small subunit ribosomal RNA
Source: RNAcentral